AGUUUUCAAAGUCGGUCUGUGUGGAAGGAUGGCACGUAGUGUCUCCGUCCACAUACACCCCUUUGGGUCAAAGGGAUUCGGAAGGCACUGACUCGAGUCACCGUGUGCUGCUGUUUACUUGACAAUCUGGUGCGGACGCUGUUUCCUCUUCUGUUUCACAGUCAGGAAAACUCAGCACAGGAAAACUGCCAAGCGACAGAAACGUUUAGGAUAUGCCAGCUAAGUGUGCCCAGGGUGCACUUAGUUCUGUCUGCGUGCACAUCUUUGUUAACGUGUGUUCAUUUACUCGGCUCUGCUCUCUACGCCUUUCCCUCAUCCUCUGUUUAACCUAACAGGACGCACAGCUUUUCCCCAGCCUUAAUUCAAAGAGAACGAAAAUCAAAAGUAUCUAAAAUUAGAAGCGUAAGCAAUCAUCGCUCCAGAAACAUGGGAAAUACCUGAGGAGCAAUGCCUCCCAACUCCCGGUAACAAACGCCCAGCACCAGUCCCCUCACAUCAGCAGUAGCGUGGUAUGCUUUUAAAAAUACCAAAUGUAAAGGCUGUGCAGUUUUCAGAACA
This is a long non-coding RNA of Oxyura jamaicensis (ruddy duck), 558 nucleotides long. RefSeq lists it as uncharacterized. The transcript is spliced from 2 exons. NCBI's taxonomy places the organism in Eukaryota, Metazoa, Chordata, Aves, Anseriformes, Anatidae. The record is from RefSeq and is a predicted model, not a curated record.